RNAcentral lists this non-coding RNA (900 nucleotides) under Chascanopsetta prognatha. RNAcentral describes it as "partial 12S ribosomal RNA". It matches the Rfam family "Bacterial small subunit ribosomal RNA". The record is from RNAcentral. Lineage: Eukaryota; Metazoa; Chordata; Actinopteri; Pleuronectiformes; Bothidae.
ACCCCCGUGAGAAUACCCAUAGCCCCCUUUAUGAGGGCAUGGAGUUGGUAUCAGGCGCACGACUAGAUCUAAUGUAGCCCAGAACACCUUGCUUAGCCACACCCCCAAGGGUACUCAGCAGUGAUUAACAUUAAGCCAUGAGCGAGAGCUCUACUCAGUUAGAGUUAACCAGAGCCGGUAAAACCCGUGCCAGCCACCGCGGUUAUACGGGAGGCUCAAGUUGACAGAACCACGGCGUAAAGGGUGGUUAAGGAGGAAUAUACACUAAAGUCGAAAGAAUUCAGAGUUGUGAUAAGCCCACGAAGACAUGAAGAACACCCACGAAAGUGACUUUAAUACCCCUGACUCCACGAAAGCUGCGACACAAACUGGGAUUAGAUACCCCACUAUGCUCAGCCCUAAACAUAGACUGAAAUUAACACAUUCUAUCCGCCCGGCAACUACGGACACUAGUCUGAAAGCCAAAGGACCUGGCGGUGCUUCACAUCCAUCUAGAGGAGCCUGUCCUAUAACCGAUAAUCCCCGUUAAACCUCACCCCCCCUUGCUCCUGUCCCGCCUAUAUACCGCCGUCGUCAGCUUACACUGAGAAGGGAUAAAAGUAAGCAAAACUAGCAAAGCCCAGAACGUCAGGUCGAGGUGCAGCUCAUGGGAGGGGCAAGAGAUGGGCUACAUUUGCUCGCUUAGAGCAAAUACAGAUACCUCGUUGAAACACGAGAUUGAAGGAGGAUUUAGUAGUAAGCAGGGAACAGAGCGCCCUCCUGAAACCGGCACUGAAGCACGUACACACCGCCCGUCACCCUCACCAAGCGCCUGGAAAACCCUAACUAAGAUGAGCCUAACUGCAAAGGAGAGGAAAGUCGUAACAUGGUAAGUGUACCGGAAGGUGCACUUGGUCAAGA